Molecule: ribosomal RNA, 1791 nt
Filed under: Escherichia coli
Lineage: Bacteria; Pseudomonadati; Pseudomonadota; Gammaproteobacteria; Enterobacterales; Enterobacteriaceae
Description: partial 23S ribosomal RNA
Rfam family: Bacterial large subunit ribosomal RNA
Source: RNAcentral
AAGGACGUGCUAAUCUGCGAUAAGCGUCGGUAAGGUGAUAUGAACCGUUAUAACCGGCGAUUUCCGAAUGGGGAAACCCAGUGUGAUUCGUCACACUAUCAUUAACUGAAUCCAUAGGUUAAUGAGGCGAACCGGGGGAACUGAAACAUCUAAGUACCCCGAGGAAAAGAAAUCAACCGAGAUUCCCCCAGUAGCGGCGAGCGAACGGGGAGCAGCCCAGAGCCUGAAUCAGUGUGUGUGUUAGUGGAAGCGUCUGGAAAGGCGUGCGAUACAGGGUGACAGCCCCGUACACAAAAAUGCACAUAUUGUGAGCUCGAUGAGUAGGGCGGGACACGUGGUAUCCUGUCUGAAUAUGGGGGGACCAUCCUCCAAGGCUAAAUACUCAUGACUGACCGAUAGUGAACCAGUACCGUGAGGGAAAGGCGAAAAGAACCCCGGCGAGGGGAGUGAAAAAGAACCUGAAACCGUGUACGUACAAGCAGUGGGAGCACGCUUAGGCGUGUGACUGCGUACCUUUUGUAUAAUGGGUCAGCGACUUAUAUUCUGUAGCAAGGUUAACCGAAUAGGGGAGCCGAAGGGAAACCGAGUCUUAACUGGGCGUUAAGUUGCAGGGUAUAGACCCGAAACCCGGUGAUCUAGCCAUGGGCAGGUUGAAGGUUGGGUAACACUAACUGGAGGACCGAACCGACUAAUGUUGAAAAAUUAGCGGAUGACUUGUGGCUGGGGGUGAAAGGCCAAUCAAACCGGGAGAUAGCUGGUUCUCCCCGAAAGCUAUUUAGGUAGCGCCUCGUGAAUUCAUCUCCGGGGGUAGAGCACUGUUUCGGCAAGGGGGUCAUCCCGACUUACCAACCCGAUGCAAACUGCGAAUACCGGAGAAUGUUAUCACGGGAGACACACGGCGGGUGCUAACGUCCGUCGUGAAGAGGGAAACAACCCAGACCGCCAGCUAAGGUCCCAAAGUCAUGGUUAAGUGGGAAACGAUGUGGGAAGGCCCAGACAGCCAGGAUGUUGGCUUAGAAGCAGCCAUCAUUUAAAGAAAGCGUAAUAGCUCACUGGUCGAGUCGGCCUGCGCGGAAGAUGUAACGGGGCUAAACCAUGCACCGAAGCUGCGGCAGCGACACUAUGUGUUGUUGGGUAGGGGAGCGUUCUGUAAGCCUGUGAAGGUGUACUGUGAGGUAUGCUGGAGGUAUCAGAAGUGCGAAUGCUGACAUAAGUAACGAUAAAGCGGGUGAAAAGCCCGCUCGCCGGAAGACCAAGGGUUCCUGUCCAACGUUAAUCGGGGCAGGGUGAGUCGACCCCUAAGGCGAGGCCGAAAGGCGUAGUCGAUGGGAAACAGGUUAAUAUUCCUGUACUUGGUGUUACUGCGAAGGGGGGACGGAGAAGGCUAUGUUGGCCGGGCGACGGUUGUCCCGGUUUAAGCGUGUAGGCUGGUUUUCCAGGCAAAUCCGGAAAAUCAAGGCUGAGGCGUGAUGACGAGGCACUACGGUGCUGAAGCAACAAAUGCCCUGCUUCCAGGAAAAGCCUCUAAGCAUCAGGUAACAUCAAAUCGUACCCCAAACCGACACAGGUGGUCAGGUAGAGAAUACCAAGGCGCUUGAGAGAACUCGGGUGAAGGAACUAGGCAAAAUGGUGCCGUAACUUCGGGAGAAGGCACGCUGAUAUGUAGGUGAAGUCCCUCGCGGAUGGAGCUGAAAUCAGUCGAAGAUACCAGCUGGCUGCAACUGUUUAUUAAAAACACAGCACUGUGCAAACACGAAAGUGGACGUAUACGGUGUGACGCCUGCCCGGUGC